CUACGGAGGGUGCAAGCGUUGUUCGGAAUUACUGGGCGUAAAGCGCGUGCAGGCGGUAAGGUAAGUCAGAUGUGAAAGCCCCGGGCUCAACCCGGGAAGUGCAUUUGAUACUGCCUUUCUUGAGUAUGGGAGAGGAGAGUGGAAUUCCCAGUGUAGAGGUGAAAUUCGUAGAUAUUGGGAGGAACACCCGUGGCGAAGGCGACUCUCUGGACCAAUACUGACGCUGAGACGCGAAAGCGUGGGGAGCGAACAGGAUUAGAAACCCCGGUAGUCC
Molecule: ribosomal RNA, 274 nt
Filed under: uncultured bacterium
Lineage: Bacteria
Description: partial 16S ribosomal RNA
Rfam family: Bacterial small subunit ribosomal RNA
Source: RNAcentral